GGAAGCAGACGAAGAAUCGCUCCAUUCGGAAUAAAAACGAAUGGGGAGGAAAGUCCGGGCUCCACAGGGCAGGAUGGUUCCUAACGGGAACUGCCAGCCAAAAAAAGGCCGGUAAGGAAAGUGCCGCAGAGAAUAGACUGCCUGCUGCCCGGGUAACCGGGAACAGGUAACGGUGAAAAGGUGAGGUAAGAGCUCACCGUCCCGGUUGGUGACAACCAGGACUGAGGCAAACCCCAUCCGGAGCAAGGCUAGAUAAAAGGUGCUUGAGGCCGGCCCGGCCAAUACCUUUGGGUUAGCCGCUCGAGCAAUUAAGCAAUUAAUUGCCCAGACAAAUGAUUCUUCAAGACAGAACCCGGCUUACAGUCUGCUUCUAAAC
RNAcentral lists this RNase P RNA (376 nucleotides) under Candidatus Aminicenantota bacterium. RNAcentral describes it as "Candidatus Aminicenantes bacterium RNase P RNA component class A". It matches the Rfam family "Bacterial RNase P class A". From Rfam's summary of the family: Ribonuclease P (RNase P) is a ubiquitous endoribonuclease, found in archaea, bacteria and eukarya as well as chloroplasts and mitochondria. Lineage: Bacteria; Candidatus Aminicenantota. The record is from RNAcentral.